RNAcentral lists this non-coding RNA (45 nucleotides) under Schistosoma margrebowiei. The record is from RNAcentral. Lineage: Eukaryota; Metazoa; Platyhelminthes; Trematoda; Strigeidida; Schistosomatidae.
AUCCAGCUGACGAGUCCUAAAUAGGACUCAACGCGCUCCCUGGAU